Molecule: long non-coding RNA, 1954 nt
Organism: Hylaeus volcanicus
Lineage: Eukaryota; Metazoa; Arthropoda; Insecta; Hymenoptera; Colletidae
Exons: 3
Source: RefSeq, a predicted model, not a curated record
ACACUCGAUACAGUUUUAUUUUGUAUUCAUCAUUGUGACGCAAGCGUUCGCCUUCCUAUUUGCGAUUCGUUGGCCCCUUUCGCCGGUAACUACCAAGUGGCGCCCAGGAAGGAUGUGAUGGAGCAAUCGAGCUAGCCCUUAUACCACGAACAUAUCCGCUUUCGAAUAAAAUUAUUUGUACGCAAAUAUGCGAGCAAACGUGUUUAUCGAAUGAUAUCUUAAUGGAGGAAGAUUUUAAGCUGCAGGUCUCCACGACCGCGGUUGUUGUUCUGUUGGAUGUUCGUUAUUUGUAAAAGUGACCGGGAAUGAUUUUAAUGAAUCUUCAGGAAGUUCAAUUUUGUAUGGAAAAGUCAAUGAACUAAUAAACUUGUUCAUUUUUCGAGCCCACUCGUUGGAACCGUCCAUUUUGCGUGUCCUACGGGUUCCCUUUAAAUUUCAGAAUGGUUCCUUGAAAUGAGAAGCAGUUUUUCAAUAAACUAAAAAUAAGAACAUAAAUAACAUAUUUUUAUGGAUAAAGCGAGAAAUAGUUUUACAAUUUUGUACGUACUAAUACGUAAUAUCGUUAUAUCACAUAUUGUAUUGCUCUGAAGAUCAAAGGAAAUUGUUCUUACAGAUAAUUUAAUAUAUGACGUAACCACAAGGCAAAACGAACAAAACAAAGUUGUUUUUCUGAUCGAUUAUAUUUUUGCUGAUAUUAAUACAUAUUAGUUAUAAGAAAUUAAAAUGACGAUUCAUUCUGAACUGUGCUUGUAAAUUGAUGAUUCUGAGCUUUCUAUUCUUUUCAUUUCUUUCGACUUUAUAUUAUUCUCAAGCAAUUUUUUAAUUAUACAACAUUUAUUCUUUUUUUUUUGGUAUCCCCAGAUAAGACCUCGAAUUUUUCUGCCAUGCUUCUUUUCAAGUGUAAAAACACUUUAUAAUUAAUUAGAAUAAAUAUACAUCGUUAAGGAAAAAGCACUGAUAUUAUACGUUGCAACAUUAUCGCUAAACAUAGUUUCAUUUCCUUUGUUAACAUUGCAAUUCAUUAAUGGUUUUUCAUUGACAAUGCAUUUUCCUCAAAAAGUAUUUCCAACGUUAUUUUAUAAACAGUGUCAUAAUAAAUGUUAUAAACAAUUAAAUCAAUUCUUACAGUGUUUGUUUGAUGUAAACGAAUGAUAUACAAUUUCUCUACCAUAUUAAUUGAUACACUUUGAAAAAGUUGAAUUCUUGCAAAAAUAAUUUUAUGGAAAUCUAAUCACAGUGGUCUUUUCUAUUUUGGUUAUAAAAUUUAAGAAUGGACACCCCUUUGAAAUAAUUCUAGAUAUUUAUGCUUUCCGCUAACAUCUCUGAAACUAUAAAAGAUAUUACAAAAUUUUUAAUAUAAAAGUUGUACAUCUCGAUAGGAUAUCAAAUUGUUAUCAAACAUAUUUUUUGAGAAAUUAAUAUUUUUCGAGAAUCUCUUUUUUACAAACCAUACUUCUUCUUUUCUUUAGAAAUUCUUUUUUCAUAUAUAAUAUAAAUUACAGCUGUAUGUUAUUUAACAAAAUGUGCUUCAUUUUGAGCGGGCAAGUGAAAAAAAAAUUUUAUAGACAAUUUUUGAUUUGGACUAAAAUUAACGAGGCCCCUUGUGAAUUCUUAAUAAAAUCAUUCUCUCAUUUGUAAAAAAUUGGGUGUUUACGAUAGAAAAAAACUUUCUGUGUGUGCUUCUAGAGUUCCAUGAGAUCUAUAACGAAAAAAAGUUUCAAUCCAAAAUGUUAAUUAUUAAGAAACUAUGAAAAGAAUAUAAAAAUAGACUCUUUCAUCAGUUUGAUAUUUUAAAAAAAUUCUUCACCUAUAGACACGCAGAUUCUCGUUUUGAUGAUUUGAAAUCCGUUUACUCAAUCAAGAGUUAUGAUUUUUUCAAAGUUUAAUCCUGAAUUCUGGCCGAUCCGGUGCACGGUACAGAAUACACAUGUAUUGUAUAUUGCAUAGUAGCUCG